GCUUGGGAUUCUCUCUCCCCCUCUCUCUGCUCUUCCCCCACUCGUACACAUACUCUCUCAAAAUAAAUAAACUUAAAAAAAAAAAAAAAAAAAAAAAAAAGAAUGAUUCCUGAAGAAAGCCCUUUCAUGCCGAAGGACUUCCCAAAGCAAGGAAGCACAGUGUUCAAAUCCACCCUCCAAAGACUUUCAGCGAAAGAGGGGCUCUGCGUUACCUGUACGAACACCUCCAGGAUAUCUGGGCUCAGUGAGAAUCUAUCCUGCAACUUUUUACUAAAUGGGUCACGAAUACUUAGAACUUUGUUUCUUUACACGGACUUGGGGAAAAUUGACAAACAGUAUUUAAAAAACAGAAACAAAAAACCUGCUGGCGACUUACGAAGGGAAAAUGGGAGACCGCAAGGGACACCAGGCCGGUGACCCUCCAGUGCCCACUGUGCGUCCUCAGUGCCAUCUGGCCAUGCUGUGCUCUCAAACUUCUCGGAGCCCUGGGCUAACCUCUGGUCACCUGAGGGGGUGCCCUCUGAUAACACAGGAAAUUCCCAGCUUAACUUGUGUAUGAACAUGGGGUCUGUCUUCCUUAUAAGGGGAAAGAACAAAAACCAAGAAAACCGAACCAGCCGGGACAGGGGCAGAAAUCCCCGGGGACCACUGACACGCCGGCACAAAAGCAGGCUCCAGGAACAGCAGCCAGGCUUCAGAGGUGCCACCUCACAGACUGCCAGCAAAGCCCAUGUCAGAGUGGGAUUAAAUACCGAGGGAGCUUGCCUAAUAGACUGUGACAUAAUCCCUCAAGAAAAGUGGGGGAAGCCCCACUGCGCUAAUCAUUUCAAUCUAGACCUGCCAAGCCCUCUUGAGACCAGUAAGCAGGAGAAAGCCUGAGGCGUCAGCCUGAGCAGGGACGACCUUAUUCCCAGAGCCCGGACUGGCAAUGUCCCAGGGUCGGCCCGCCGGGGCCAUCGGGGACAGGCAACCGACCAAAGCUGGGGGACUGACUUGGAACGGGUGUCCAGGAGGGAACGGGAAGAAGCCACCGGCUUGCCGAGGGUCAGAUCUGUCUCGUGCCUCCCGCACUAAGCUUCCAGGGCAUUUAAAUUCCCACUCACAGAGCUGGUGACAGCCAGCUCCUCCCUCUCGGGUCAAAGACUAGAUCUGGGUGCCCAUUCUAAGGAAUGCCUAUUUGGCCACUCCACAGGGCACAGGAGCGUGCUGAAUUCAACACACACCACGGGCUUGGCAAAAACAGCACGCAGUCAAGAAAUCUCAUGGCUUCAAAGCAGGCUGGCGGGGUGGGGCACGGGGCCGCUUUCUGCAGGCCAAGUGACCAACCACCAGCUCCGCUUCUUACGCUCUUGGUACGUGUAACUUAGCGCCUUGGUUUUCUCACCUGUGGAAUGGGGUGACUGUAGUACCUACCAGGGUUGUUAAGGUUAAAUGAGAUUAACGUGGAUAAAGCCCUUGACAUGAGAAAGGCACAAAGUACCACACAAAAAGCAGCUACCAGAUUUAAGGAUAACCCUAAACUGGCUGGGCUGCUCAUCAGGAAGCACUUUCUGUACAGAGAAGCUUCAGCCAACUCCCCUUGGGGGUCGCUGCUGACUGCUGGCCAACAAGUUCCCGCUACACUUGGCCGGACUGAGUGCGCGCUAUCCUCUCCCGACAGACCCUGACAAAACUGACAAAUCAACACGUCCCCUUCCUCUGCUCUAAUCUAGCUGGGAAGAGGAAGUAACCGAGUGGGUGACCAGGAGGCAAAGGCACAGGGAGAGCUGAGCCCCAGGAAGAAGGGACAAAGGCCCCUUAAAAAAACAAAGCUUCCCGACAUGGAAAUUCUCUAGACGAGAGAGCUGGAAGGAAACUGAAAGGGGCCUGGGUUUGUGGAUCGAUCUGGUUUGCAAAAAAACAGAAGGGGGUGGGGGCAAAAAAAAAAAAACAAAAGGUGGACACUCAUGGGAGCAGUGGCUGUUACCUGAAGAUCAUGAGAGCCCUUGACAACAGGCGGCUAGGUUAAUGUGAAGGUCAGGGUUAUGACCAUUAACUGCCCAAACGCUCAACAAAUUGCCUGGGUAGGCUCGGAAUGACCCAUUAACUAGGGACAAAACCACACAAAUUAUGGGGAGGCUCUGCCUCUUCAAAUGGUUAACGACAGGCCUAACUGCCGAAGUCCCCAAAUCCGACCGUGUGGGACAGUUGUUUACUGGGAGCGAAGGCACAGAGGCUUUCCCUCGCUUUCCGACGAGAUGAAGGAGCCCCGGGGGGUGGGGGGCACCUCACUGAGGGAUUUUCAGAGGCAGGAAAUUCUUGAAAUAAACCUCUGGGCCUCGCACAUGGUUUUCAGUGUCCUUACUACCUAGGUUUAUCGACCAGAACUCAAGAGCAAAGGGGCUCUAUGUCUCCCUUCCCCUCAAUAUUCUCACGUGGUGUCACAACAGACUGUGACAUCGCGCCACCUCCAUGGUAAUGUGCCCACGUAACAGACAACACCCCACCCGAGCAGCCAAGCGCAAACCAACCAUGGGACACGAGAAGCCCGAUCGCCAGCACCCCCAACCCCUCACUUCAACGUGAGCAGAAGAGCCGGUCCAGUGCUGAGACCCGGAUGGGAACGCACCUACAGCCAGAAGUCAAUUUCUCCAAUGGAAAUGGAGAAAUCUGCACUUGGAAUGGGAUAUUGUACAGUGUGGACACUUCUUCCUCCCACAACUGAUUUUACAUACCUAACAACCCCACUUCACAGCAGUUACGUUGUGAGUAUUUUGAGAGGAAGACUAAGACAAAUGGCCCACUGAACUGCAGUUAACAUCUCCUUAUCCCAACGUAAGUGAACUUUUUUUCCCCCCUAAGAAUGGAAAAAAAAAAAAAAAAAAAGGUAAACAGGAUCUUUCAGAGGGGAAAAGGG
Molecule: long non-coding RNA, 2896 nt
Organism: Herpailurus yagouaroundi (jaguarundi)
Lineage: Eukaryota; Metazoa; Chordata; Mammalia; Carnivora; Felidae
Exons: 2
Source: RefSeq, a predicted model, not a curated record